AUUGAACGCUGGCGGCAUGCUUUACACAUGCAAGUCGAACGGUCACAGGUCUUCGUUUGCUGUCGAGUGGCGCACGGGUGCGUAAUACUUCGGCACGUGCCUCGUAGUUGUGGGUAACUACUCGCAACAGUAGCUAAUACCUCAUGCGAUCUACUGUUUAAAGCCGGGUACCUUCGUGCCUUGUGCUACUUUUGCUGCUGCUGGUAGAUUAGGUCGUUGGUGGGGUAAAGGCUUACCAAGCCUGCGCUGUGUAGCUGGUCUGAGAGGACGACCAGCCACACUGGGACUGAGACACGGCCCAGACUCCUACGGGAGGCAGCAGUGGGGAAUUUUGGACAAAGGGCGAAAGCCUGAUCCAGCAAUGCCGCGUGAAGGAUGAAGGACCUCGGGUUGUAAAAUGCUUUUGUAAGGAAAGAAAAGACUGGGGAGAAUAUCCGCGGGUCAUGACGGUACCGAAAGAAUAAGCACCGGCUAACUACGUG
This 482-nucleotide ribosomal RNA is filed under the name uncultured bacterium. RNAcentral describes it as "partial 16S ribosomal RNA". It matches the Rfam family "Bacterial small subunit ribosomal RNA", at positions 30 to 507 of the family's 1533-position model. The record is from RNAcentral.